ACUCCUUUAAGACACUUGAUUACAAUAUUGAAAAACCAUUAUUUUUUACUAGGUCCUUGGACCACCUAGCUAUCUGCUGCUAACGCCUGGGACUCGGCUAUAAACCCAAUGCUGAAGCCAAAACUUAUGCAGGACAGUGGCUGAUUCUUGUCAUCCACCAUCUUCAUUGUAAGAGUGUAUGAUCCCUAAAUUUUAAAAAGGAAAAAGAAAAACACCAUUAAGUACGUUUAAAGGCGGCAGUACAGGAUUUUCUUCCAAUUCAAACCCGGAAAACCAAACAAAGACAAGUUAUAAUGAUAAAUAAAUCAGCAUCUGAAACAUCGAUAAAUAUCAAGUAGAUGCAAUCGGAAAAAGCAUCUUCUGAAUAAUUGAGUAAAAUUCAAGUAGACCUGUAAAUGCAAUUGGAAAAAGCAUCUUCAUACAAUAUAUUUGGCUGGUUUUUAUUGUUUCAAAAAGAAAUUGUAUUAGACUGGCCUUUGAUGUGCUCUACUUUCUAAAAGGCUUUCCCUCCGAAAAGAUGAAGGGUAAUAACAGAACCAAAAAGCAAGAAAAUCUACAAAAAUGCCAAGCAAAAAGAGAACCAAAUGUGAAGGCUGUACUCCUCAAGCCGUAAGUUCUUUUUUUUUUUUUGAUAACCAAAAAAUCCCCAAUGCCGUAGGCACACCGACCCAUGACGUGCGCCUAACCCGCACAACAUGCAAUGUACUCUUACCACUAGUCCAUACCCAUAGCUUUACAGCAUCAGGAAGUAGACCCCACUACUUUCCCACAAGAGGCACAUAAUAUUAUGGUUUGAAGACUUGUAAGGACAAAGCAGCUCAUGAAAUGCAGAGACGGCUAAGCUUUUUAGAAAAUUUAUGCAGAAUGAAAAUAGCAAAUUGAUAUUAAGAUGGAUAGUUCAAAACUGAAUCGGAAAGUUGACUCACAGGUGGAGUAAAUCCAGGCAACUCUUGUGAGUGGGAAAUCACGAAAUCACCGGAAGCUGGGCAAGAUGUCUCUUUACAAAGGUCGAUGGCCUCGU
This 1021-nucleotide long non-coding RNA is filed under the name Nicotiana tabacum (common tobacco). RNAcentral's name for it is "long non-coding RNA (NTAB_LNC011062)". Lineage: Eukaryota; Viridiplantae; Streptophyta; Magnoliopsida; Solanales; Solanaceae. The record is from RNAcentral.